This 494-nucleotide ribosomal RNA is filed under the name uncultured bacterium. Its description in RNAcentral is "bacterial SSU rRNA". It matches the Rfam family "Bacterial small subunit ribosomal RNA", at positions 28 to 507 of the family's 1533-position model. The record is from RNAcentral.
GAUGAACGCUAGCUACAGGCUUAACACAUGCAAGUCGAGGGGAAACGAUAUUGGAAGCUUGCUUCCGAUAGGCGUCGACCGGCGCACGGGUGAGUAACGCGUAUCCAACCUGCCCACCACUUGGGGAUAACCUUGCGAAAGUAAGACUAAUACCCAAUGACGUCUCUAGAAGACAUCUGAAAGGGAUUAAAGAUUUAUCGGUGAUGGAUGGGGAUGCGUCUGAUUAGCUUGUUGGCGGGGUAACGGCCCACCAAGGCGACGAUCGAGUAGGGGUUCUGAGAGGAAGGUCCCCCCACAUUGGAACUGAGACACGGUCCAAAACUCCUACGGGAGGCAGCAGUGAGGAAUAUUGGUCAAUGGGCGAGAGCCUGAACCAGCCAAGUAGCGUGCAGGAUGACGGCCCUAUGGGUUGUAAACUGCUUUUAUGCGGGGAUAAAGUGAGGGGACGUGUCCCUUUUUGAGGUACCGCAUGAAUAGGACCGGCUAAUUCCGUG